GAUGAACGCUGGCGGCGUGCCUAAUACAUGCAAGUCGAGCGAACAGACGAGGAGCUUGCUCCUCUGACGUUAGCGGCGGACGGGUGAGUAACACGUGGAUAACCUACCUAUAAGACUGGGAUAACUUCGGGAAACCGGAGCUAAUACCGGAUAAUAUAUUGAACCGCAUGGUUCAAUAGUGAAAGACGGUUUUGCUGUCACCUAUAGAUGGAUCCGCGCCGCAUUAGCUAGUUGGUAAGGUAACGGCUUACCAAGGCAACGAUCCGUAGCCGACCUGAAAGGUUGAUCGGCCACACUGGAACUGAGCCACGGUCCAGCCUCCUACGGGAGGCGGCAGUAGGGAAUCUUCCGCAAUGGGCGAAAGCCUGACGGAGCAACGCCGCGUGAGUGAUGAAGGUCUUCGAAUCGUAAAACUCUGUUAUUAGGGAGGAACAAAUGUGUAAGUAAAUAUGCACGUCUUGACGGUACCUAAUCAGAAAGCCACGGCUAACUACGUG
RNAcentral lists this ribosomal RNA (497 nucleotides) under uncultured bacterium. RNAcentral describes it as "partial 16S ribosomal RNA". It matches the Rfam family "Bacterial small subunit ribosomal RNA", at positions 28 to 507 of the family's 1533-position model. The record is from RNAcentral.